Molecule: ribosomal RNA, 497 nt
Filed under: uncultured bacterium
Lineage: Bacteria
Description: partial 16S ribosomal RNA
Rfam family: Bacterial small subunit ribosomal RNA
Source: RNAcentral
GACGAACGCUGGCGGCGUGCCUAAUACAUGCAAGUUGAGCGCUGAAGGUUGGUCCUUGUACCAACUGGAUGAGCAGCGAACGGGUGAGUAACGCGUGGGGAAUCUGCCUUUGAGCGGGGGACAACAUUUGGAAACGAAUGCUAAUACCGCAUAAAAACUUUAAACACAAGUUUUAAGUUUGAAAGAUGCAAUUGCAUCACUCAAAGAUGAUCCCGCGUUGUAUUAGCUAGUUGGUGAGGUAAAGGCUCACCAAGGCGAUGAUACAUAGCCGACCUGAGAGGGUGAUCGGCCACAUUGGGACUGAGACACGGCCCAAACUCCUACGGGAGGCAGCAGUAGGGAAUCUUCGGCAAUGGACGAAAGUCUGACCGAGCAACGCCGCGUGAGUGAAGAAGGUUGUCGGAUCGUAAAACUCUGUUGGUAGAGAAGAACGUUGGUGAGAGUGGAAAGCUCAUCAAGUGACGGUACCUACCCAGAAAGGGACGGCUAACUACGUG